Molecule: small nuclear RNA, 107 nt
Organism: Fukomys damarensis (Damara mole-rat)
Lineage: Eukaryota; Metazoa; Chordata; Mammalia; Rodentia; Bathyergidae
Source: Ensembl
GUGAUUGCUUCGGCAGGACAUAUACUAAAACUGGACCAAUACAGAGAAGAUUAGUGUGGCCUCUGCACAAGGAUGACAUGCAAAUUUGUGAAGUGUUCCAUAUUAAA